RNAcentral lists this transfer RNA (68 nucleotides) under Priestia megaterium. Its description in RNAcentral is "Bacillus megaterium tRNA-OTHER". The stretch from base 5 to 64 matches the Rfam family "tRNA", at positions 6 to 65 of the family's 71-position model. Rfam says of the family: Transfer RNA (tRNA) molecules are approximately 80 nucleotides in length. Their secondary structure includes four short double-helical elements and three loops (D, anti-codon, and T loops). Lineage: Bacteria; Bacillati; Bacillota; Bacilli; Caryophanales; Bacillaceae. The record is from RNAcentral.
CGAUAGUAGCUCAGUGGUAGAGCGCCACAAACAAACGUGGAGGGCGUUGGUUCGAAUCCAACCUUUAU